AGACACUAAAUGACAGUUGGAUGAAAGGCUGCCCAGCAGGCAGAGGAGCUCAUAGAGAAUAUGGGAAGUCAUUAGAGGCUUUUGAGUCAGAGGCUGAUAAUAUCCGAAAACUAUAUUGUAAGCUGAGUAAUCCAUUAGUUAUUCAGUAGUGCUGGGAGGAGGGAGGUUGAGGGAGCCGGGAGAACAACUGAAGUAGUAAGGGCUGGAAGUUGAGAAUGACGAAGACUACAGUGGGGACUGGAAAGGGGAUGGAGAUGAGCUUCACGGUGGAGGUAGGGCUAGAAGCUUGAGCAAGACGUUUGGAUGUGUUUAAGAGGGGGAUGCGGGAUGAGGUGAGGCCAAGGUCUGCAGCCCUGGUGCCGGAGAAGGAACUCGAAUAGAGGAAGCAAACCAAAGUCAUGAGAAGGCACUGGAUGCAGAGUUUCUUUAUGCUGUCAGCUUUAAGGAUCAUCCCUAAACUCGGCUAUGCUCCCCCUGGAGAGCAGCAUAUGAAAAGGCGCAGAAGCCUGCAGCUAGUCCCACGUGGCAGGAGGCAGUGUAUGAGGAAAGGAACGGCCAGAGGGAGCCAGGCUUGAGUGACCUCAAGCUUGACAGCUAUAGAAUUUCUUUAUCGUCAAAGAGCAUUCGGGGCUUCCCUGGUGGUGCAGUGGUUAAGAAUCCACCUACCAGUGCAGGGGACAUGGGUACGAGCCCUGGUCUGGGAA
This is a long non-coding RNA of Aethalodelphis obliquidens (Pacific white-sided dolphin), 704 nucleotides long. RefSeq lists it as uncharacterized. The record is from RefSeq and is a predicted model, not a curated record. NCBI's taxonomy places the organism in Eukaryota, Metazoa, Chordata, Mammalia, Artiodactyla, Delphinidae. The transcript has 3 exons.